CCUCUAUAUUUCAUAUUUUUGGCGUGAGAUUGACACGAUUUGAGGUUUCAGAUUUUUGGCGUGAGAUAAAGACGAUUUGAGGUUUCGUUCUUCGGGAUUUCUCGUUCCAGAAUUUGAUAAGAAAGAUGAGUUCUCAAUGAAAUUGUACAGUCAAGAAUUGCAGUUGCGAAAGGGAUAAAAGCAAGUCGCCAGGAGUGUAAGCUUACUCGGAGGUAUUGUACUUAUUUUAUGGUGAUCAACAAAGGCAAAGAAGUUAUUCCACCAUACCAACAUAUAUAAAUUGGUUUUUGUUGGUACUGCUUGAAGAUGCGCACAUUAGUUGAUUACAAUAUCCGGAAAGAAUGGACUUUACAUCUUGUUUUGAAGCUACACAGUAGGACUUAGCUAAAAGUACAACUAGGACAAGAUGAUAUGUCGCACGUGGAUUCUACCAUAAGAAGAUUAAGUUUCCUCCGGAAUACCCAUUCGAACCACCAGGCAUCAGGUAUUAUUUAAGAACAACACAAGCAGAGAAAAAAAUAUGCCAGAAGGGAGGAGAGAUUGGCUCAGGUCUCAGAAAAAGCGUUAGUGGUGCUUAGGUGGACGAUUCUAGUUGUAUGUGCUAUACAAGCUGAUGCACCUUGUGGUCCUUGUCCUGUCUUUGGAUUUUUGUAAAUGUGUACAUAUUUGUACACCAGUAUAAACUAAGAUUUUUUAAAAAAAAUAUGAGAAUCGUAUAAUCAUAUGGGUACACUUUUUAUAGCUCUUGGAAAGAGCAUUACGAAUAUAUAAAGUUUUGCGAA
Long non-coding RNA from Papaver somniferum (opium poppy), 782 nucleotides. RefSeq lists it as uncharacterized. The record is from RefSeq and is a predicted model, not a curated record. The transcript has 5 exons. Lineage: Eukaryota; Viridiplantae; Streptophyta; Magnoliopsida; Ranunculales; Papaveraceae.